AAAAAAAAGGAAGCAGUAGAUACAUGCUUUGUAUGAUCCACUACUAGAAUACUCGCCCUGGAUUAUUCUCUUGAUAAUCAUAACCUUUGGCCUCAUUAUAGGGAAAGAGACCACUGCGACAAUUAGUUCAGGGUUUAAAGUGAAAACUUUGCACUUUUUUGGUUCCCAGUUGGGCAAGAUUUUCUAUUAAUUCUGUUUCACCUUGUAAUCUAUACAUUUUUGUCUGUUUAGACCCAGUAUCUAGCAUGUUGUUCAUAUAUGAAAUGCUUAAAAAUAUUCAUUAAGCUAUAUUUGCAUUCUUAAUUCUUGUGUUUCUCAGAAUUUGUAGUAAGUAUGUUCUUUCUCAAAAUAUAAUGAAUCACAAGUAAGCCAUCACAUAUUGGAAGUCUCCUGUACUUAGAGUUCUCCGUUUACUAUGGUCAUGCUUGAAUUAGCAUGGGAAAAGCUGGAGAGGAUCCUCAGAAAGGUUACCAGAAUGGUGAAAGGCUUUGAAUCCAUGCUAAGUGAAGGCAACGUAAUUUUCAGCACAAUAAAUGAAGAAUUGGCUGAAUAUUGACAGAGAAUUGGAAUCCAAUUCAAAAAGGAGCAGCAAAAUCAUUUAUAAAUGAAGGAGUACAUCAUGCCUGAAGAUUGGGUUCUGAUUAGCCUGGGAGGCUUCUAAUACCCACUAUUGAUUUUCUGCUACUGUAUCUGACAUUGAACUUUGUGUCCGGCCACGGGGGUUCUAUCUUUUGCAUGAUAGAAUGAUGAAUAGUUGUCUAAAAGACUCUGAACACAUACUUAUUUCCCCUUCAAUAAGAACAAGUCAAUAUAAUUAAGCAGAGGAAAAAAAAAACAACAUUGUGGUUACCCAGCAAGUUUAUGGAACAGUUUGGGGUUUGUCCUCUUGUAUCUGGUUAAUGACCAUAAUGCCAAAGUCAUAGUUAUUCUAUGAAGAAUUAGCCAUCAUAUUAAUGACUCAUAUUCCUUUUGAUCUUUAAUGGGAAAAGUGAGAGCCUCAUAUUUAUAAUAAAAAUAG
This 1018-nucleotide long non-coding RNA is filed under the name Monodelphis domestica (gray short-tailed opossum). RNAcentral describes it as "lncRNA (ENSMODG00000030349.2)". The record is from RNAcentral. Lineage: Eukaryota; Metazoa; Chordata; Mammalia; Didelphimorphia; Didelphidae.